CCCUAACCGAACACCUCUCUCUCUCUCUUUCAAAUUCUCAUUUUGUUAAUAUUUUUCAAUUGGAUUUUUGGGAAUUUGGCUUGGAUUUUGGAGUUCAUUUUUGGUGUUAGAAGCUUGGGAUUGUGGAUUACCGGCACCUGGUCAGGAGCACCCGGGGAUUCGGAAUCUCUGCCUUUGCGGGACAACAGGAAAGGGUAAGUCAGUGGCUGAUCAACCAUGAGUUUGAGGAGCAAGAUGAAGAAUGUACAUGUUCAAGCCAUAUCAGACCAAGCGGGUUAAGGGUCUAUCAGUGAUGAACUUUUGAAUUCUAUUUUGCCGUUUAGGUCGGCUAGAAAUAAAUGACUUGUAAUAGCGUUUGUAAAUAUUUUUGGGAUCCCAACUAUUUUAAAAGUUUUAAAUAUAUUACAAGUUUAUUUUC
Cannabis sativa is the source of this 418-nucleotide long non-coding RNA. RefSeq lists it as uncharacterized. Lineage: Eukaryota; Viridiplantae; Streptophyta; Magnoliopsida; Rosales; Cannabaceae. The transcript has 3 exons. The record is from RefSeq and is a predicted model, not a curated record.